RNAcentral lists this small RNA (128 nucleotides) under Arabidopsis thaliana (thale cress). Its description in RNAcentral is "ATSL098520". Lineage: Eukaryota; Viridiplantae; Streptophyta; Magnoliopsida; Brassicales; Brassicaceae. The record is from RNAcentral.
AUAUAAUAUUAUAAACCCGUCCUACCAUCUAAUCCCGUUCGAUAAAAUUAAACAUCUUUUUUAAUAAUACUCUUAUUAAAAUAUUUAUAAUUCAAAUCAAUUUAAACUUUUCUUUCAAAUGAUUAUUU